CGGGGCGGUACGCGGCCGGUUCGGUGCGGGGCCGGUUCGGGUUCGGUGCGGGGCCGGUUCGGGCCCUGGCGCACCGG
Molecule: transfer RNA, 77 nt
Filed under: Streptomyces rubrolavendulae
Lineage: Bacteria; Bacillati; Actinomycetota; Actinomycetes; Kitasatosporales; Streptomycetaceae
Description: tRNA-Pro
Source: RNAcentral